CUCUUUCUGAAGUUAUUUUUCCUCCAGAGAGGGAGAAUAGAAGCCCCAAACUUGAUUCAGAAAGGUCCAGGAUAUUCAAGCCUUCAAAGGUCAUUCAGACACAAACUAAGACAGACCAUCUCGCAAGCAUAUGGGGAUUGAGUUCGAAAUCAAAUCUAGGUAGUACAAAUACCCAGAAGAAUUUUCUUUCCAUUUUCUAUUUUGCACCAUCACUCAUAUAUUGUACUAUUGAGUUAUCUAAAGAAAUAAAGCAUGUUUAUGUUAUCUAGGUAUAUUCAACAAACUUUAUUCUGCUCCCAAGCGUUCAUCCAUCAGUUCCAGCCUCCAUCUAAACUUGGGAUGUGUGGAUCUGUAAAUAUGUCAGUGCAUCUUUCUGCAUCUUGUUCCUAGCAAUGGCUGAUGGCAAUACCUCAACGAAAGGCCAAAACUGAACCCAGAAUGUCCUUUAACAUAAAUAAUCUCUUUCUUCACUGUUCCCCUGGCCCCACCCUCCUGAAUACCUUUAAGAAGAGUCAUCAUAACCUCUUUUAAUCUUUAGCUGGUGAAACAGGACAAACUCCCUUAAUCUCUUCAUAUGUGAGCCAUUGCAUUCCUGUAAUGUAUUGGUACCCUUCUUUAUACUUGUAAGAGUAACUUUGUCCUUAAAUACAGGUACCAGAACUAAAUGAAAUACUUGCACAGGUUUUUACCUUUCAACACCGAUACCAUUAUUUUUGUUUUUAGUAAAAUCUCCUCUACUAAUGUAUUCCCACCACUCCUCAGGUUAAAAAAAAAAUAAAUUGCUAGAUUCUUCCCCUCCCUGUGGCACUUAAUGGAUUAAAUUGUUCAGUACUGUAACUUUCCCUUUUUCAGGGUUUGGUGGAUCUUGGGAAGAGUACGGCUGUGGCAACUUCAGUUCAAUGAAGCCAGAGGACGCUACACUGUUGAUGAAAUAUUACUUCUUUUCUUCUUGGCAUCUCUCCAGUCAUUUUCAUCAUGACUUGUACUCAAAGCAGGGAUGUCUCUGUGCCUGGAUGAGACUGGACAUUCAAGAACUGAUCUCUGAGAGUCAUCCAGGAGCACAGAUUUCAAGAAAAGCCACCAUUGCGCUUGCUGAAAGCACUGAAUACAUUCCCGUUGUUUUCCACCACAUUCCUGUGAAAGAGGCAAAUGGAUAG
RNAcentral lists this long non-coding RNA (1157 nucleotides) under Anas platyrhynchos platyrhynchos (common mallard). Its description in RNAcentral is "lncRNA (ENSAPLG00000026816.1)". Lineage: Eukaryota; Metazoa; Chordata; Aves; Anseriformes; Anatidae. The record is from RNAcentral.